CUACGGGGGGCUCCAGUGAGGAAUAUUGCACAAUGGGGGGAACCCUGAUGCAGCAACGCCGCGUGGAGGAUGACGCAUUUCGGUGUGUAAACUCCUUUUAUAUGUCAAGAAAAUGACAGUAGCAUAUGAAUAAGCACCGGCUAACUCCGUGCCAGCAGCCGCGGUAGUACGGAGGGUGCAAGCGUUACUCGGAAUCACUGGGCGUAAAGGACGCGUAGGCGGGUUGGAAAGUCGGGUGUGAAAUCCUACAGCUUAACUGUAGAACUGCACUUGAAACUUCUAAUCUAGAGUAUGGGAGGGGGAGAUGGAAUUAGUGGUGUAGGGGUAAAAUCCGUAGAUAUCACUAGGAAUACCUAAAGCGAAGGCGAUCUCCUGGAACAUUACUGACGCUAAGGCGUGAAAGCGUGGGGAGCAAACAGGAUUAGUACCCCAGUAGUC
This 438-nucleotide ribosomal RNA is filed under the name uncultured bacterium. RNAcentral describes it as "partial 16S ribosomal RNA". It matches the Rfam family "Bacterial small subunit ribosomal RNA", at positions 339 to 795 of the family's 1533-position model. The record is from RNAcentral.